RNAcentral lists this ribosomal RNA (1390 nucleotides) under uncultured bacterium. RNAcentral's name for it is "16S ribosomal RNA". It matches the Rfam family "Bacterial small subunit ribosomal RNA". The record is from RNAcentral.
UUCGCCCUUAGAGUUUGAUCCUGGCUCAGGACGAACGCUGGCGGCGCGCCUAACACAUGCAAGUCGAACGGAGCUUAGAGAGCUUGCUUUUUAAGCUUAGUGGCGAACGGGUGAGUAACGCGUGAGUAACCUGCCCUAGAGUGGGGGACAACAGUUGGAAACGACUGCUAAUACCGCAUAAGCCCACGGUGCCGCAUGACACUGAGGGAAAAGGAUUUAUUCGCUUUAGGAUGGACUCGCGUCCAAUUAGCUAGUUGGUGAGGUAACGGCCCACCAAGGCGACGAUUGGUAGCCGGACUGAGAGGUUGAACGGCCACAUUGGGACUGAGACACGGCCCAGACUCCUACGGGAGGCAGCAGUGGGGGAUAUUGCACAAUGGGGGAAACCCUGAUGCAGCGACGCCGCGUGGAGGAAGAAGGUUUUCGGAUUGUAAACUCCUGUCGUUAGGGACGAUAAUGACGGUACCUAACAAGAAAGCACCGGCUAACUACGUGCCAGCAGCCGCGGUAAAACGUAGGGUGCAAGCGUUGUCCGGAAUUACUGGGUGUAAAGGGAGCGCAGGCGGGAAGACAAGUUGGAAGUGAAAACCAUGGGCUCAACCCAUGAAUUGCUUUCAAAAACUGUUUUUCUUGAGUAGGGCAAGAAGGUAAGAUGGGAAUUCCCCGGUGUAGCGGGGGGAAUGCGUAGAUAUCGGGGAGGAACACCAGUGGCGAAGGCGGUGUCUUGGGCACCAAUUGACGUUGAGGCUCGAAAGCAUGGGUAGCAAACAGGGAUUAGAUACCCUGGUAGUCCAUGCCGUAAACGAUGAUUACUAGGUGUUGGGGGAUUGACCCCCUCAGUGCCGCAGUUAACACAAUAAGUAAUCCACCUGGGGAGUACGACCGCAAGGUUGAAACUCAAAGGAAUUGACGGGGGCCCGCACAAGCAGUGGAGUAUGUGGUUUAAUUCGAAGCAACGCGAAGAACCUUACCAGGUCUUGACAUCCGAUGCAUAGCACAGAGAUGUGUGAAAUCCUUCGGGACAUCGAGACAGGUGGUGCAUGGUUGUCGUCAGCUCGUGUCGUGAGAUGUUGGGUUAAGUCCCGCAACGAGCGCAACCCUUAUUGCCAGUUACUACGUUAAGAGGACUCUGGCGAGACUGCCGUUGACAAAACGGAGGAAGGUGGGGAUGACGUCAAAUCAUCAUGCCCUUUAUGACCUGGGCUACACACGUACUACAAUGGCGUUAAACAAAGAGAAGCAAGACCGCGAGGUGGAGCAAAACUCAAAAACAACGUCUCAGUUCAGAUUGCAGGCUGCAACUCGCCUGCAUGAAGUCGGAAUUGCUAGUAAUCGCGGAUCAGCAUGCCGCGGUGAAUACGUUCCCGGGCCUUGUACACACCGCCCGUCA